UACGAAGGGGGCUAGCGUUGCUCGGAAUCACUGGGCGUAAAGCGCACGUAGGCGGAUCUUUAAGUCAGGGGUGAAAUCCUGGAGCUCAACUCCAGAACUGCCUUUGAUACUGGGGAUCUCGAGUCCGGGAGAGGUGAGUGGAACUCCGAGUGUAGAGGUGAAAUUCGUAGAUAUUCGGAAGAACACCAGUGGCGAAGGCGGCUCACUGGCCCGGUACUGAUGCUGAGGUGCGAAAGCGUGGGGAGCAAACAGG
Molecule: ribosomal RNA, 253 nt
Filed under: uncultured bacterium
Lineage: Bacteria
Description: partial 16S ribosomal RNA
Rfam family: Bacterial small subunit ribosomal RNA
Source: RNAcentral